GAAAUGCGAUACGUAAUGCGAAUUGCAGAAUUCACGUCACACGCCGUCGCUUGAAAUAUAUGGAGUGAAGUUCAACCCGUUAAUCAGCUCACAGCUUCGGUUGUGAUAGUUCUUCAUUGAGCGGUUGAUGACGAGUGACGUGAAUUCUGGGCCUCGGCUCUCUUUUACGUGUAUCUCGUUCAGCAGCCAUUCCAAAGUUCAAUGCAAGGGCGAACGUUUAAUGGACGGGCUUUUCACGUUCCGUGGCGCAAGCUACAAUCGGCUUAUGAACAAUCCUCGAUUUUCAUAUAGUCUGAAUUUUGAUCUGAAAUGAAGUGAGACAACCCCCUGAACUUAA
RNAcentral lists this unclassified non-coding RNA (337 nucleotides) under uncultured Ophiostoma. RNAcentral's name for it is "sequence contains ITS1". The record is from RNAcentral. Lineage: Eukaryota; Fungi; Ascomycota; Sordariomycetes; Ophiostomatales; Ophiostomataceae.